RNAcentral lists this ribosomal RNA (467 nucleotides) under uncultured bacterium. Its description in RNAcentral is "partial 16S ribosomal RNA". It matches the Rfam family "Bacterial small subunit ribosomal RNA", at positions 28 to 506 of the family's 1533-position model. The record is from RNAcentral.
GACGAACGCUGGCGGCGUGCUUAACACAUGCAAGUCGAACGGAAAGGCCCUGCUUUUGUUGGGUUCUCGAGUGGCGCACGGGUGAGUAACACGUGAGUAUCCUGCCCUUGUCUUUGUGAUAACUUCAGGAAACUGCGGCUAAUACCGCAUAUGAUCUCCUGCUGCAUGUUGGGGGUUGGAAAGUUUCGGCGGUUGGGGAUGUACUCGCGGCUUAUCAGCUUGUUGGUGGGGUAGUGGCUUACCAAGGAUUUGACGGGUAGCCGGACUGAGAGGGUGACCGGCCACAGAGGGACAGGGAAAAGGGCCAGAGGCAAACGGGAGGCAGGGGUGGGGAAUAGUGCACAAAGGGCGGAAGCAGGAUGCAGGAACGCCGCGUGCGGGAUGACGGCCUUCAGGGUGUAAAACGCUUGCGCGUGUGACGAAGCGUGAGUGAGGGUAAUGGGUAAAGAAGCACCGGCUAACUACGU